AUAUCCCGUUGAAACACCAGUUCUCGUAUGACCACUGAAGUUAAGCAGCAUCGAGCCUGGUCAGUACCUAAAUGGGUGACCGUUUGAGAAUACGAGGCACUGUAAG
Non-coding RNA from Acanthosepion pharaonis, 106 nucleotides. NCBI's taxonomy places the organism in Eukaryota, Metazoa, Mollusca, Cephalopoda, Sepiida, Sepiidae. The record is from the annotation of a GenBank genome assembly.